UUAAGCUUAAAGUGAUUAACUAAGCUUAAAGUGAUUAACUAAGGAAUAUAAAAGAAAUACCUGGAAUGGUUCUUGCUAAGUCAAUCUGAAACCAGUCACAAUGAAGUUCCUAGUAUUCGUUAUUGUCGCCUUAGUGGCAGUUUUCUGGUCUCCAGUGGCCGCACAAUUUUGCGAACCACCAUACUCGUGUGUGAACCUCUGCGUGCUUGGUGCCGGACCUGGGAUCUGCCCAAGCGGACAGACCUGCUGCAGUCUGGGAUUAGGAGGAAAGUAAUAGACACAGGGCCAUUGCUAUAUAAGUUUGUCACCGAAUGGCUUAUUGAGUCAAACAGUCAAAAAAUAAAGUGCAGUAUAUAAAA
Molecule: long non-coding RNA, 359 nt
Organism: Photinus pyralis (common eastern firefly)
Lineage: Eukaryota; Metazoa; Arthropoda; Insecta; Coleoptera; Lampyridae
Exons: 2
Source: RefSeq, a predicted model, not a curated record